This 75-nucleotide antisense RNA is filed under the name Mycobacterium heidelbergense. RNAcentral describes it as "ASpks TB sRNA". It matches the Rfam family "ASpks TB sRNA". The record is from Rfam by way of RNAcentral. Lineage: Bacteria; Bacillati; Actinomycetota; Actinomycetes; Mycobacteriales; Mycobacteriaceae.
CUUGAUGGAGCCCAGCCACAGCGGCUCGCCCGAACCCCGGUCCUGCCCAUAGGUCGCCAACAACGCCUGCGCCUC